UUUGAACGCUGGCGGCAGGCUUAACACAUGCAAGUCGAGCGGGGUGAUGGUGCUUGCACUAUCACUUAGCGGCGGACGGGUGAGUAAUGCUUAGGAAUCUGCCUAUUAGUGGGGGACAACAUCUCGAAAGGGAUGCUAAUACCGCAUACGUCCUACGGGAGAAAGCAGGGGAUCACUUGUGACCUUGCGCUAAUAGAUGAGCCUAAGUCGGAUUAGCUAGUUGGUGGGGUAAAGGCCUACCAAGGCGACGAUCUGUAGCGGGUCCGAGAGGAUGAUCCGCCACACUGGGACGUAAACACGGCCCAGACUCCUACGGGAGGCAGCAGUGGGGAAUAUUGGACAAUGGGGGGAACCCUGAUCCAGCCAUGCCGCGUGUGUGAAGAAGGCCUUAUGGUUGUAAAGCACUUUAAGCGAGGAGGAGGCUCUUUUGGUUAAUACCCAAGAUGAGUGGACGUUACUCGCAGAAUAAGCACCGGCUAACUCUGUGCCAGCCGCCGCAGUAA
Molecule: ribosomal RNA, 503 nt
Filed under: uncultured bacterium
Lineage: Bacteria
Description: partial 16S ribosomal RNA
Rfam family: Bacterial small subunit ribosomal RNA
Source: RNAcentral